CGAACUUGGCAGAGAUGCCUUGGUGCCUUCGGGAACGCUGAGACAGGUGCUGCAUGGCUGUCGUCAGCUCGUGUUGUGAAAUGUUGGGUUAAGUCCCGNAACGAGCGCAACCCUUAUCCUUUGUUGCCAGCGAUUCGGUCGGGAACUCAAAGGAGACUGCCGGUGAUAAACCGGAGGAAGGUGGGGAUGACGUCAAGUCAUCAUGGCCCUUACGAGUAGGGCUACACACGUGCUACAAUGGCGCAUACAAAGAGAAGCGACCUCGCGAGAGCAAGCGGACCUCAUAAAGUGCGUCGUAGUCCGGAUCGGAGUCUGCAACUCGACUCCGUGAAGUCGGAAUCGCUAGUAAUCGUGGAUCAGAAUGCCACGGUGAAUACGUUCCCGGGCCUUGUACACACCGCCCGUCACACCAUGGGAGUGGGUUGCAAAAGAAGUAGGUAGCUUAACCUUCGGGAGGGCGCUUACCACUUUGUGAUUCAUGACUGGGGUGAAGUCGUAACAAGGUAAGCGUAGCGAG
RNAcentral lists this ribosomal RNA (517 nucleotides) under uncultured bacterium. Its description in RNAcentral is "bacterial SSU rRNA". It matches the Rfam family "Bacterial small subunit ribosomal RNA", at positions 992 to 1509 of the family's 1533-position model. The record is from RNAcentral.